RNAcentral lists this non-coding RNA (30 nucleotides) under Homo sapiens (human). The record is from RNAcentral. Lineage: Eukaryota; Metazoa; Chordata; Mammalia; Primates; Hominidae.
GAGGCAUUUAACGUGAGCCACGUGUUGAGC